Molecule: ribosomal RNA, 301 nt
Filed under: uncultured bacterium
Lineage: Bacteria
Description: partial 16S ribosomal RNA
Rfam family: Bacterial small subunit ribosomal RNA
Source: RNAcentral
CAGCAGCCGCGGUAAUACGAAGGGUGCAAGCGUUACUCGGAAUUACUGGGCGUAAAGCGUGCGUAGGUGGUGGUUUAAGUCCGUUGUGAAAGCCCUGGGCUCAACCUGGGAAUUGCAGUGGAUACUGGGUCACUAGAGUGUGGUAGAGGAUAGUGGAAUUUCCGGUGUAGCAGUGAAAUGCGUGGAGAUCGGAAGGAACAUCUGUGGCGAAGGCGACUAUCUGGGCCAACACUGACACUGAGGCACGAAAGCGUGGGGAGCAAACAGGAUUAGAUACCCCUGUAGUCCCUGUCUCUUAUAC